AGCAGUCGCCGCGGUAAUACGGAGGGAGCUAGCGUUAUUCGGAAUUACUGAGCGUAAAGCGCACGUAGGCGGCUUUGUAAGUAAGAGGUGAAAGCCUGGUGCUCAACACCAGAACUGCCUUUUAGACUGCAUCGCUUGAAUCCAGGAGAGGUGAGUGGAAUUCCGAGUGUAGAGGUGAAAUUCGUAGAUAUUCGGAAGAACACCAGUGGCGAAGGCGGCUCACUGGACUGGUAUUGACGCUGAGGUGCGAAAGCGUGGGGAGCAAACAGGAUUAGAUACCCGCGUAGCCCUGUCUCUUAUACA
RNAcentral lists this ribosomal RNA (303 nucleotides) under uncultured bacterium. RNAcentral's name for it is "partial 16S ribosomal RNA". It matches the Rfam family "Bacterial small subunit ribosomal RNA", at positions 507 to 809 of the family's 1533-position model. The record is from RNAcentral.